AUUGAACGCUGGCGGCAUGCUUUACACAUGCAAGUCGAACGGCAGCGCGGGCUUCGGCCUGGCGGCGCGUGGCGAACGGGUGAGUAAUACAUCUGAACGUGCCCAGUAGUGGGGGAUAGCUCGGCGAAAUCCGGAUUAAUACCGCAUACGACCUGAGGGUGAAAGCGGGGGAUCUUCGGACCUCGCGCUAUUUGAGCCGCCGAUGGCAGAUUAGCUAGUUGGUGGGGUAAAGGCCUACCAAGGCGACGAUCUGUAGCUGGUCUGAGAGGACGACCAGCCACACUGGAACUGAGACACGGCCCAGACUCCUACGGGAGGCAGCAGUGGGGAAUUUUGGACAAUGGGCGAAAGCCUGAUCCAGCAAUGCCGCGUGUGUGAUGAAGGCCUUCGGGUUGUAAAGCACUUUUGGCGGGAACGAAAAGGACUGUGCCAAUACCACGGUUCGAUGACGGUACCCGCAGAAUAAGCACCGGCUAACUACGUG
Molecule: ribosomal RNA, 484 nt
Filed under: uncultured bacterium
Lineage: Bacteria
Description: partial 16S ribosomal RNA
Rfam family: Bacterial small subunit ribosomal RNA
Source: RNAcentral